UCCAGACUCCUACGGGAGGCAGCAGUGGGGAAUAUUGCACAAUGGGGGAAACCCUGAUGCAGCGACGCCGCGUGAGUGAAGAAGUAAUUCGUUAUGUAAAGCUCUCUCAGCAGGGAAGAAAAUGACGGUACCUGAGUAAGAAGCCCCGGCUAACUACGUGCCAGCAGCCGCGGUAAUACGUAGGGGGCAAGCGUUAUCCGGAUUUACUGGGUGUAAAGGGAGCGUAGACGGUGCGUCAAGUCUGAAGUGAAAGCCCGGGGCUUAACCCCGGGACUGCUUUGGAAACUGGCGCGCUAGAGUGCUGGAGAGGUAAGUGGAAUUCCUAGUGUAGCGGUGAAAUGCGUAGAUAUUAGGAGGAACACCAGUGGCGAAGGCGGCUUACUGGACAGUAACUGACGUUGAGGCUCGAAAGCGUGGGGAGCAAACAGGAUUAGAUACCCUUGUA
Molecule: ribosomal RNA, 445 nt
Filed under: uncultured bacterium
Lineage: Bacteria
Description: bacterial SSU rRNA
Rfam family: Bacterial small subunit ribosomal RNA
Source: RNAcentral